UGGAAGGUGGCUCAGUGGUAGAGUGCUUGCCUCAGGUGCAUGAGGCCUUGGGUUCGAUUCCUCAGCCCCAC
Dipodomys ordii (Ord's kangaroo rat) is the source of this 71-nucleotide non-coding RNA. Lineage: Eukaryota; Metazoa; Chordata; Mammalia; Rodentia; Heteromyidae. The record is from Rfam.